Non-coding RNA from Ciona savignyi (Pacific transparent sea squirt), 82 nucleotides. The record is from Rfam. Lineage: Eukaryota; Metazoa; Chordata; Ascidiacea; Phlebobranchia; Cionidae.
GCUGCGAUGGCCGAGUGGUUAAGGCGUUGGACUCGAAAUCCAAUGGGAUAUUCCCGCGCAGGUUCGAAUCCUGUUCGCAGCG